RNAcentral lists this ribosomal RNA (625 nucleotides) under uncultured bacterium. RNAcentral describes it as "bacterial SSU rRNA". It matches the Rfam family "Bacterial small subunit ribosomal RNA", at positions 186 to 809 of the family's 1533-position model. The record is from RNAcentral.
GGGCAUCCCGGAGGCAGGAAAGGCUUCGGCCGGACAGGGAUGGGCAUGCGGCGCAUUAGGCAGUAGGCGGGGUAACGGCCCACCUAACCGACGAUGCGUAGGGGUUCUGAGAGGAAGGUCCCCCACACUGGUACUGAGACACGGACCAGACUCCUACGGGAGGCAGCAGCGAGGAAUAUUGGUCAAUGGUCGGGAGACUGAACCAGCCAAGCCGCGUGAGGGAUGAAGGUACAGAGUAUCGUAAACCUCUUUUGUCAGGGAACAAAGGCGGGGACGUGUCCCCGGAUGAGUGUACCUGAAGAAAAAGCAUCGGCUAACUCCGUGCCAGCAGCCGCGGUAAUACGGAGGAUGCGAGCGUUAUCCGGAUUUAUUGGGUUUAAAGGGUGCGCAGGCGGUCUGUUAAGUCAGCGGUCAAAGCCCGGGGCUCAACCCCGGCCCGCCGUUGAAACUGGCAGUCUCGAGUUGGAGAGAAGUAUGCGGAAUGCGCGGUGUAGCGGUGAAAUGCAUAGAUAUCGCGCAGAACUCCGAUUGCGAAGGCAGCAUGCCGGCUCCACACUGACGCUGAGGCACGAAAGCGUGGGUAUCGAACAGGAUUAGAUACCCUGGUAGUCCACGCAGUAAACGA